RNAcentral lists this transfer RNA (68 nucleotides) under Drabescus ineffectus. Its description in RNAcentral is "tRNA-Trp". The record is from RNAcentral. Lineage: Eukaryota; Metazoa; Arthropoda; Insecta; Hemiptera; Cicadellidae.
AAGAUUUUAGGUUAAAAUAAACUUACAACCUUCAAAGUUGUGAAUAUCACUAAGAAAGAUAAGUCUUA